RNAcentral lists this long non-coding RNA (478 nucleotides) under Mytilus galloprovincialis (Mediterranean mussel). Lineage: Eukaryota; Metazoa; Mollusca; Bivalvia; Mytilida; Mytilidae. The record is from RNAcentral.
AUGAGACAACUCUCCACAAGAGACCACAAUGACAAGAAAAUAUAGGUCACCGUACGGCCUUUAACAAUUUUACAAUGAGCAAGCCCAACCGCAUAGUCAGCUAAAAGGCCGAUGACAAUGUAAAACAAAUCAAACAAGAAAACUAAGUGCCUUAUUUAUGUACAAAAAAUGAACGAAAACAAAAAUGUAACACAUGAACAAACGAUAACCACUGAAUUACUGGCUCCUGACUUGGGACAUGCGCAUACCUACAGAAUCUUACGGGGUUAAACAUGUAAGUGGGAUCCUCGUCCCAACAUUGGACAGUGGUAUAAUAAUACAGCAUAAGAACAAACUAUAAAAAUCAGUUGAAAAAGGCUUAACUCAUUAGAUGGAAAAAAAUACAAUAGGAGGUAAAAACUAGGUUUCAUAACUAUCGCAUUAACAAUGACAAAUUUAAUUAUAUUAACAACAAAGUGUGAAGAACUCAUAUCGGCGC